AUGACUACCUGUUUUUCUGAUAUUAUUAAAGAUCAUUCCCUGGAUUUCUUGGGUAUUCAGGAAACUAAGAAAAAAAACUUCGAUAAUAAGUAUUUGAGGAGAGUGGACCCCUUUGAUAGAUUCAAUUGGAACUUUAUUCCUUCUGUUGGUAAAUCGGGUGGGAUUUUAUGUGGAGUGAAUAAAGAAACAUUGGAAGUGAUCUCCUGGACUGUAGGUAAUUAUCUACUACAGGUCGCUGUGUUUGAUGUUCGCCUUAAAUGUGUCUGGACCCUGGUAGUGGUGUAUGGGGCGGCUCAUGACAAUAAAAAAGAUGAGUUCCUAACAGAGCUGGACUCGAGCUGCAGUAAUAUUAAUACUCCUUAUGUGAUUGGGGGGGGACUUCAAUAUCCUUCGUGA
RNAcentral lists this ribosomal RNA (396 nucleotides) under Triticum aestivum (bread wheat). RNAcentral describes it as "partial small subunit ribosomal RNA". Lineage: Eukaryota; Viridiplantae; Streptophyta; Magnoliopsida; Poales; Poaceae. The record is from RNAcentral.